This 328-nucleotide ribosomal RNA is filed under the name Rhogostoma sp. Its description in RNAcentral is "SSU rRNA". The stretch from base 118 to 328 matches the Rfam family "Eukaryotic small subunit ribosomal RNA", at positions 743 to 955 of the family's 1831-position model. The record is from RNAcentral. Lineage: Eukaryota; Cercozoa; Thecofilosea; Cryomonadida; Rhogostomidae.
GAUUUCUGGUCUAGUAUCACUUGACCCGUCAUGGUCACAUGAUUGUGUGUCGAUGUGUACUUACCAUCCUUCUAGAACAUUUUUUAUCAUUCUUUAUUGAAUGUAUGAAAAAUUGUACUAGAUCUUUUACUUUGAAAAAAUUAGAGUGUUUAAAGCAGGCUUUUGCUAUGAAUACAUUAGCAUGGAAUAAUAAUCUAGGACUUCGGUUCUAUUUUGUUGGUUUCUAUAACUGAAGUAAUGAUUGAUAGGGAUAGUUGGGGGUGCUAGUAUUGGCCGGCCAGAGGUGAAAUUCUUGGAUUCGGUCAAGACUAACUUAUGCGAAAGCAUU